CUACGGGGCGCUCCAGUGAGGAAUAUUGCACAAUGGAGGAAACUCUGAUGCAGCAACGCCGCGUGGAGGAUGACGCAUUUCGGUGUGUAAACUCCUUUUAUAUGUCAAGAAAAUGACGGUAGCAUAUGAAUAAGCUCCGGCUAACUCCGUGCCAGCAGCCGCGGUAAUACGGAGGGAGCAAGCGUUACUCGGAAUCACUGGGCGUAAAGGAGGCGUAGGCGGGAUAGAAAGUCAGGUGUGAAAUCCUAUGGCUCAACCAUAGAACUGCACUUGAAACUUCUAACCUAGAGUAUGGGAGGGGAAGAUGGAAUUAGUGGUGUAGGGGUAAAAUCCGUAGAUAUCACUAGGAAUACCAAAAGCGAAGGCGAUCUUCUGGAACAAUACUGACGCUAAGGCGUGAAAGCGUGGGGAGCAAACAGGAUUAGAUACCCGCGUAGUC
This 439-nucleotide ribosomal RNA is filed under the name uncultured bacterium. RNAcentral describes it as "partial 16S ribosomal RNA". It matches the Rfam family "Bacterial small subunit ribosomal RNA", at positions 339 to 795 of the family's 1533-position model. The record is from RNAcentral.